GGGGAUUUAGCUCAGUGGUAGAGCGCUUGCCUAGGAAGCGCAAGGCCCUGGGUUCGGUCCCCAGCUCCCCCC
Rattus norvegicus (Norway rat) is the source of this 72-nucleotide non-coding RNA. The record is from Rfam. Lineage: Eukaryota; Metazoa; Chordata; Mammalia; Rodentia; Muridae.